RNAcentral lists this ribosomal RNA (440 nucleotides) under uncultured bacterium. Its description in RNAcentral is "partial 16S ribosomal RNA". It matches the Rfam family "Bacterial small subunit ribosomal RNA", at positions 338 to 795 of the family's 1533-position model. The record is from RNAcentral.
CCUACGGGAGGCAGCAGUGGGGGAUAUUGCACAAUGGGGGAAACCCUGAUGCAGCGACGCCGCGUGUGGGAAGACGGUCCUCUGGAUUGUAAACCACUGUCCCCAGGGACGAAGAUGACGGUACCUGGGGAGGAAGCUCCGGCUAACUACGUGCCAGCAGCCGCGGUAAUACGUAGGGAGCGAGCGUUGUCCGGAAUUACUGGGUGUAAAGGGAGCGUAGGCGGGGAUGCAAGUUGGGGGUCAAAACUACCGGCUCAACUGGGAGUCGCACUCAAAACUGCAGCUCUUGAGUGAAGUAGAGGCAGGCGGAAUGCGUGGUGUAGCGGUGAAAUGCGUAGAUAUUAGGCGGAACACCAGUGGCGAAGGCGGCCUGCUGGGCUUUUACUGACGCUGAGGCUCGAAAGUGUGGGGAGCAAACAGGAUUAGAUACCCUUGUAGUC